This 907-nucleotide ribosomal RNA is filed under the name Tricholoma sinoacerbum. RNAcentral describes it as "eukaryotic LSU rRNA". It matches the Rfam family "Eukaryotic large subunit ribosomal RNA", at positions 72 to 957 of the family's 3401-position model. The record is from RNAcentral. Lineage: Eukaryota; Fungi; Basidiomycota; Agaricomycetes; Agaricales; Tricholomataceae.
GGAUUCCCCUAGUAACUGCGAGUGAAGAGGGAAAAGCUCAAAUUUAAAAUCUGAGGGCCCUCCUAUGGCCUUCCGAGUUGUAAUCUAGAGAAGUGCUAUCCGCGCUGGACCGUGUAUAAGUCUCCUGGAACGGAGCGUCAUAGAGGGUGAGAAUCCCGUCUUUGACACGGACUACCAGGGCUUUUGCGAUGCGCUCUCAAAGAGUCGAGUUGUUUGGGAAUGCAGCUCCAAAUGGGUGGUAAAUUCCAUCUAAAGCUAAAUAUUGGCGAGAGACCGAUAGCGAACAAGUACCGUGAGGGAAAGAUGAAAAGAACUUUGGAAAGAGAGUUAAACAGUACGUGAAAUUGUUGAAAGGGAAACGCUUGAAGUCAGUCGCAUUGGUCAGUAAUCAACCUUGCUUUUUCUGCUUGGUGUAUUUUCUGGUUAAUGGGUCAGCAUCAAUUUUGACCGGUGUAUAAAGGUCAGAGGAAUGUGGCAUCUUCGGAUGUGUUUAUAGCUUUUGGUUGCAUACGCCGGUUGGGAUUGAGGAACUCAGCACGCCGCAAGGCCGGGUUUUUACCACGUACGUGCUUAGGAUGCUGGCAUAAUGGCUUUAAUCGACCCGUCUUGAAACACGGACCAAGGAGUCUAACAUGCACGCGAGUGUUUGGGUGGAAAACCCGAGUGCGGAAUGAAAGUGAAAAUUGAGAUCCCUGUCGUGGGGAGCAUCGAUGCCUGGACUUGAUCUUUUGUGACGGUUCCACGGUUGAGCGUGUAUGCUGGGACCCGAAAGAUGGUGAACUAUGCCUGAAUAGGGUGAAGCCAGAGGAAACUCUGGUGGAGGCUCGUAGCGAUUCUGACGUGCAAAUCGAUCGUCAAAUUUGGGUAUAGGGGCGAAAGACUAAUCGAACCAUCUAGUAGCUGGUUC